UUAAGCGACUAAGCGUACACGGUGGAUGCCCUGGCAGUCAGAGGCGAUGAAGGACGUGCUAAUCUGCGAUAAGCGCCGGUAAGGUGAUAUGAACCGUUAUAACCGGCGAUUUCCGAAUGGGGAAACCCAGUGUGAUUCGUCACACUAUCAUUAACUGAAUCCAUAGGUUAAUGAGGCGAACCGGGGGAACUGAAACAUCUAAGUACCCCGAGGAAAAGAAAUCAACCGAGAUUCCCCCAGUAGCGGCGAGCGAACGGGGAGGAGCCCAGAGCCUGAAUCAGCAUGUGUGUUAGUGGAAGCGUCUGGAAAGGCGCGCGAUACAGGGUGACAGCCCCGUACACAAAAGCGCAUGUGCUGUGAGCUCGAUGAGUAGGGCGGGACACGUGGUAUCCUGUCUGAAUAUGGGGGGACCAUCCUCCAAGGCUAAAUACUCCUGACUGACCGAUAGUGAACCAGUACCGUGAGGGAAAGGCGAAAAGAACCCCGGCGAGGGGAGUGAAAAAGAACCUGAAACCGUGUACGUACAAGCAGUGGGAGCACAGGUUUACCUGUGUGACUGCGUACCUUUUGUAUAAUGGGUCAGCGACUUAUAUUCUGUAGCAAGGUUAACCGAAUAGGGGAGCCGGAGGGAAACCGAGUCUUAAUUGGGCGUUAAGUUGCAGGGUAUAGACCCGAAACCCGGUGAUCUAGCCAUGGGCAGGUUGAAGGUUGGGUAACACUAACUGGAGGACCGAACCGACUAAUGUUGAAAAAUUAGCGGAUGACCUGUGGCUGGGGGUGAAAGGCCAAUCAAACCGGGAGAUAGCUGGUUCUCCCCGAAAGCUAUUUAGGUAGCGCCUCGUGAAUUCAUCUCCGGGGGUAGAGCACUGUUUCGGCUAGGGGGCCAUCCCGGCUUACCAACCCGAUGCAAACUGCGAAUACCGGAGAAUGUUAUCACGGGAGACACACGGCGGGUGCUAACGUCCGUCGUGAAGAGGGAAACAACCCAGACCGCCAGCUAAGGUCCCAAAGUCAUGGUUAAGUGGGAAACGAUGUGGGAAGGCCCAGACAGCCAGGAUGUUGGCUUAGAAGCAGCCAUCAUUUAAAGAAAGCGUAAUAGCUCACUGGUCGAGUCGGCCUGCGCGGAAGAUGUAACGGGGCUAAACCAUGCACCGAA
Molecule: ribosomal RNA, 1156 nt
Filed under: Salmonella enterica subsp. enterica serovar Ibadan
Lineage: Bacteria; Pseudomonadati; Pseudomonadota; Gammaproteobacteria; Enterobacterales; Enterobacteriaceae
Description: partial 23S ribosomal RNA
Rfam family: Bacterial large subunit ribosomal RNA
Source: RNAcentral